This 27-nucleotide ribosomal RNA is filed under the name Epizoanthus illoricatus. RNAcentral describes it as "partial 18S ribosomal RNA". The record is from RNAcentral. Lineage: Eukaryota; Metazoa; Cnidaria; Anthozoa; Zoantharia; Epizoanthidae. RNAcentral also lists the same sequence under 1 other name.
UGAACCUGCGGAAGGAUCAUUAACGAU